This 256-nucleotide ribosomal RNA is filed under the name Sphingobacterium gobiense. RNAcentral's name for it is "Bacterial small subunit ribosomal RNA". It matches the Rfam family "Bacterial small subunit ribosomal RNA", at positions 707 to 965 of the family's 1533-position model. Lineage: Bacteria; Pseudomonadati; Bacteroidota; Sphingobacteriia; Sphingobacteriales; Sphingobacteriaceae. The record is from Rfam by way of RNAcentral.
CCCCGAUUGCGAAGGCAGCUGUCUAGCCCAGCAUUGACGCUGAUGCACGAAAGCGUGGGGAUCGAACAGGAUUAGAUACCCUGGUAGUCCACGCCCUAAACGAUGAUGACUCGAUGUUAGCGAUAUAGUGUUAGCGUCCAAGCGAAAGCGUUAAGUCAUCCACCUGGGGAGUACGGCCGCAAGGCUGAAACUCAAAGGAAUUGACGGGGGCCCGCACAAGCGGAGGAGCAUGUGGUUUAAUUCGAUGAUACGCGAG